GUAACCUUCGGGUUGCGAGUAGAGUGGCAGACGGGUGAGUAACGCGUGGGUGACCUACCUUCGAGUGGGGGACAACCCCUGUAAUGGGGGCUAAUACCGCAUAACAUCCUGUUCUUAGAUGGACAGUGAUCAAAGCUGGCCAAGCUUCGGUUUGGCUAGUGCUUGUUGACGGACCCGCGUCCGAUUAGCUUGUUGGUGGGGUAAUGGCUCACCAAGGCUUCGAUCGGUAGCCGGCCUGAGAGGGCGGACGGCCACACUGGGACUGAGACACGGCCCAGACUCUUACGGGAGGCAGCAGUAGGGAAUUGUUCGCAAUGGGCGAAAGCCUGACGACSCAACGCCGCGUGGAGGAUGAAKAUCUUCGGGUUGUAAACUCCUGUCGGGAGGGAAGAAUAGCUUGUGGGUUAAUACCCCAUAGGCCUGACGGUACCUCUAGAGGAAGCCCCGGCUAACUCCGUGCCAGCAGCCGCGGUAAUACGGGGGGGGCGAGCGUUGUUCGGAUUUACUGGGCGUAAAGGGCUUGUAGGCGGUGGUCUAUGUCGGUUGUGAAAUCCCCAGGCUCAACCUGGGAACUGCAGCCGAAACUGGGUCACUAGAAGCCGGGAGAGGGAUGCGGAAUUCCAGGUGUAGCGGUGAAAUGCGUAGAUAUCUGGAGGAACACCCGUGGCGAAGGCGGCAUCCUGGACCGGUCUUGACGCUGAGGAGCGAAAGCUAGGGUAGCAAACGGGAUUAGAUACCCCGGUAGUCCUAGCCCUAAACGAUGAAUGCUUGGUGUGGCGGGUAUCGAUCCCUGCCGUGCCGGAGUUAACGCGUUAAGCNU
This 820-nucleotide ribosomal RNA is filed under the name uncultured Terriglobales bacterium. Its description in RNAcentral is "SSU rRNA". It matches the Rfam family "Bacterial small subunit ribosomal RNA", at positions 73 to 867 of the family's 1533-position model. The record is from RNAcentral. Lineage: Bacteria; Pseudomonadati; Acidobacteriota; Terriglobia; Terriglobales.